RNAcentral lists this ribosomal RNA (253 nucleotides) under uncultured bacterium. Its description in RNAcentral is "partial 16S ribosomal RNA". It matches the Rfam family "Bacterial small subunit ribosomal RNA", at positions 524 to 776 of the family's 1533-position model. The record is from RNAcentral.
UACGGAGGGUGCAAGCAUUAAUCGGAAUUAUUGGGCGUAAAGGGCGCGUAGGCUGAAGGAUAAGUCAGAUGUGAAAUUCCGGAGCUCAACUUCGGAGCUGCAUUUGAAACUAUCUUUCUAGAGGGUUGACGGAGAAAACGGAAUUCCACGUGUAGCGGUGAAAUGCGUAGAUAUGUGGAAGAACACCUGUGGCGAAAGCGGUUUUCUAGUUAAUACCUGACGCUGAGGCGCGAGAGCAAGGGGAGCAAACAGG